Molecule: ribosomal RNA, 337 nt
Filed under: Chrysotila carterae
Lineage: Eukaryota; Haptophyta; Isochrysidales; Isochrysidaceae
Description: partial Eukaryotic small subunit ribosomal RNA
Rfam family: Eukaryotic small subunit ribosomal RNA
Source: RNAcentral
ACCUGGUUGAUCCUGCCAGUAGUCAUAUGCUUGUCUCAAAGAUUAAGCCAUGCAUGUCUAAGUAUAAGCGAGUAUACUGUGAAACUGCGAAUGGCUCAUUAAAUCAGUUAUGGUUUAUUUGAUGGUACCUUACUACGUGGAUACCCGUAGUAAUUCUAGAGCUAAUACAUGCAGGAGUUCGUGCGCGGCUCGUCCGCGCGCGAUGUAUUUAUUAGAUAAGAGACCAACCCGCCUCGUGCGGUUGCGUGCCGAGUCAUAAUAACUGUUCGAAUCGCAUGGCUCUGACGCCGGCGAUGGUUCAUUCAAAUUUCUGCCCUAUCAGCUUUCGAUGGUAGGC